Long non-coding RNA from Anolis carolinensis (green anole), 1613 nucleotides. RefSeq lists it as uncharacterized. The record is from RefSeq and is a predicted model, not a curated record. The transcript has 4 exons. Lineage: Eukaryota; Metazoa; Chordata; Lepidosauria; Squamata; Anolidae.
CCCAGAAAUCCCAGCCAGUUUACCAGCUGUUAUGAUUUCUGGGAGUUGAAGGCCAAAAACAUCUGGGAACCCCAGGUUGAGAAUCACUGAUGUAGACCAUCACAUUACCAUCUAUGUCACUGCUGCCACUUCUGGAUAGCUGCAGAACUCCUGGCCACUGGAAGCAUCCUGUGCUAACAUCAACAGAGGUGCCCACAUAAGCAGAAAAAGUGGAGGGGGUCCCCUCCUGACAAAAUCAGGGGAAAGGAGAUGAUGGGAGUACUCCAUAUAGAAAGUAAGCAGUCCGAAUCUGACCUGAUCCUCCUGUCCGUACUAAGUUAAAUUUGCGAGGUAAAUUUGCUCUAGGAUUCCAAGCUAACUCUGGAGCAUCUCCCAACAUCUCAUAAUCCAGAUUUCUUAGCAAUACUUAUCAGAAGUGAAGGUGUGUCAUGAAGAGAGCUAGGACUUAACACAUGGUGAGUACAGGUUAUUAGGCCCAUAUAAACAAAUCCUCAAUGACAUUCAGGGAAUUUAUUUAUUUAUGACAUUUCUACCCCAUCUUUCUCAACCCCGGAGGGGACUCAAGGCAGCUUUACACACAGGCAACUAUUUGUUGCCUUAAAAACAAUGUACAGUUAAAAUGAACAUUUUAAAUUCAAUUAUAAAAUACAUGAAGACAAUUAAAAUAUUUAAAACAAUACAUUCACAAUUAAUCACAUAAGCAUAAUCCGGGCCGUUCCUAUGAUCAUUGCACUUCAUUCUAUAUCUAUCUAUUGCACAAGUUCCACAAAGCCACAUUUUUACUCUCUUACAGAAGGUCAGGAGGGAGAGAUUUGCACAGCCGAGGGGCCAUCACUGAGAAGGCCCUGUCUCUCGUCCCCACCAAUCGCGCCUGUGAAGGAGGCAGGACCUAGAGCAAGGCCUCCCCAGAUGAUCUUAAACUCUGAGAUGGUUUGUAGAGGGAGAUACGUUCGGACAGGAAGUACAGGUGGAGGAUGUUUUAUCACUUCAGCUUUGACGGAUCUGAAGAUUAAACUUCACUUCCGAUGCCUCAAACAAAAAAAAGGCCGAAGAGCCGGCAUUGUCUCCAAGAUCAUGUGGCCGGCAUGACUGCAUGGAGCGCCAUUAGGCAAGUAAGCACUUGCAAUUUAACCUAGCCAUUGAUGAGGACCUGAAAACAAUAUCUGAGCAAAUCAAGAAUGGGGCAGUGGUUCUCAACCUGGCACCUCCAGAUGUUUUUGGCCUACAACUCAAGCCAGUGCAAUUAACUGCAAUGAAUCACUCUGACCAGGAGGUCAUGAGUUCGAGCCCCGCUCGGAGCCUAUGUUUGUUUGUCUUUGUUCUAUGUUGAAAGGCAUUGAAUGUUUGCCUAUAUGUGUAAUGUGAUCCGCCCUGAGUCCCCUUCGGGGUGAGAAGGGCGGAAUAUAAAUGCUGUAAAUAAUAAAUAAAUAAAUAAAUAAAUAAAUUUUAGAGAAACAAAAAUUAGAGUUCCUCCAGAACUACAAGCACUAUCUCAAUCAAAUCUGGAUUAGUCACACUAUAAUUACUUACCUUUCUACCAAUUUACAUUGCAAUGGAAGUAAUAACGGACAUAGUCGAAGAGACCAUAGUAGAAGCUGCCAAAAUGUGAUAGC